AUGUUUCUAUUCUCUUGUCUUUUGUGUCUGUUUUCAUUUCUUGGAGUCAUGUCAGAUGAUGAGCUCUUUCAGUCGUCCUCAGAAGUAAAACACAUUGGACAGAGUGUAAAGAUGUUCUGUAAAGGAAUUGGAUAUCAAAUCUCUGACUACUAUAUAUACUGGUAUCAACAGGUUACAGGAGGUGGAAUGACAUGGAUUGGAAGGAUUGAUCCUUAUAAUGGAAAUACAGAUUAUUCCUCUUCAUACCAGGAAAGAUUCACAAUGACAUCUGAUAAAUCCAUAAACACAGCAUAUCUACAAAUAGAAAAUCUGAAAGUGGAAGACACGGCCACAUAUUACUGUGCUAGACACACAGUGAUCCAAGGAUGGCUCCUGCCAUACAAAAACAUACCAGCACUACCAUCACUGUCCUGUCCAUAUUUAUUCAUUGUCACAAUGGGGUAUAUUCACUAA
Nanorana parkeri is the source of this 453-nucleotide non-coding RNA. NCBI's taxonomy places the organism in Eukaryota, Metazoa, Chordata, Amphibia, Anura, Dicroglossidae. The record is from the annotation of a RefSeq genome assembly.